Molecule: non-coding RNA, 363 nt
Organism: Candidatus Wildermuthbacteria bacterium
Lineage: Bacteria; Candidatus Wildermuthiibacteriota
Source: Rfam
GGAGGAAGUUAGGCAAUCGCCCCGCCAGCUUGCGAAGCUUGCGGCGGGGAGGAAAGUCCGAACACUCCCAGGUGCCAUACGGCACCUGGUCAACUACUCCGGGUAACGCCCGGCCGCCGAAAGGUGAGCGGUGCGAACAGAGACGAGCCCGCCAACAGCUACGCAGUUGCUGGCGGGGUGAAACGGCUAAAUCCGUGUAGGGUGCAAGAGUAAACCAGAAGGACUGCUUUCAUGUGGUACUUCUGUGAAAAGUGACUCGCUAUUGCCCUGAGAGAAAUCGAAGGGCUUGAUCCUUCCUGGUAACAGGUUGGACAGAUAGAUGAUUGCCCUCGACAGAAUUCGGCUUAUAGGCUUCCUCCGACA